This 484-nucleotide ribosomal RNA is filed under the name uncultured bacterium. RNAcentral's name for it is "partial 16S ribosomal RNA". It matches the Rfam family "Bacterial small subunit ribosomal RNA", at positions 30 to 507 of the family's 1533-position model. The record is from RNAcentral.
AUUGAACGCUGGCGGCAGGCCUAACACAUGCCAGUCGAGCGGAUGAAGGGAGCUUGCUCCUGGAUUCAGCGGCGGACGGGUGAGUAAUGCCUAGGAAUCUGCCUGGUAGUGGGGGAUAACGUCCGGAAACGGGCGCUAAUACCGCAUACGUCUUGAGGGAGAAAGUGGGGGAUCUUCGGACCUCACGCUAUCGGAUGAGCCUAGGUCGGAUUAGCUAGUUGGUGGGGUAAAGGCCUACCAAGGCGACGAUCCGUAACUGGUCUGAGAGGAUGAUCAGUCACACUGGAACUGAGACACGGUCCAGACUCCUACGGGAGGCAGCAGUGGGGAAUAUUGGACAAUGGGCGAAAGCCUGAUCCAGCCAUGCCGCGUGUGUGAAGAAGGUCUUCGGAUUGUAAAGCACUUUAAGUUGGGAGGAAGGGCAGUAAGUUAAUACCUUGCUGUUUUGACGUUACCAACAGAAUAAGCACCGGCUAACUUCGUG